Molecule: ribosomal RNA, 495 nt
Filed under: uncultured bacterium
Lineage: Bacteria
Description: partial 16S ribosomal RNA
Rfam family: Bacterial small subunit ribosomal RNA
Source: RNAcentral
GACGAACGCUGGCGGCGUGCCUAAUACAUGCAAGUAGAACGCUGAAGGAGGAGCUUGCUUCUCUGGAUGAGUUGCGAACGGGUGAGUAACGCGUAGGUAACCUGCCUGGUAGCGGGGGAUAACUAUUGGAAACGAUAGCUAAUACCGCAUAAUAGUAGAUGUUGCAUGACAUUUGCUUAAAAGGUGCAAUUGCAUCACUACCAGAUGGACCUGCGUUGUAUUAGCUAGUUGGUGGGGUAACGGCUCACCAAGGCGACGAUACAUAGCCGACCUGAGAGGGGGAUCGGCCACACUGGGACUGAGACACGGCCCAGAAUCCUACGGGAGGGAGCAGUAGGGAAUCUUCGGCAAUGGACGGAAGUCUGACCGAGCAACGCCGCGUGAGUGAAGAAGGUUUUCGGAUCGUAAAGCUCUGUUGUAAGAGAAGAACGAAUGUGAGAGUGGAAAGUUCACGCUGUGACGGUAUCUUACCAGAAAGGGACGGCUAACUACGUG